Molecule: ribosomal RNA, 491 nt
Filed under: Hylodes lateristrigatus (Baumann's tree toad)
Lineage: Eukaryota; Metazoa; Chordata; Amphibia; Anura; Hylodidae
Description: partial small subunit ribosomal RNA
Rfam family: Bacterial small subunit ribosomal RNA
Source: RNAcentral
GCCCGAUAGUAAACUUUAAACUACACCCUCAUCGCCAGAGAACUACGAGCAAAGCUUAAAACUCAAAGGACUUGACGGUACCCCAUAUCCCCCUAGAGGAGCCUGUCCUAUAAUCGAUAAUCCCCGUUUAACCUCACCACCUCUAGCUUCCCAGCCUGUAUACCUCCGUCGUCAGCUUACCUCGUGAGCGAACCUUAGUGAGCUUAACGUCCACACGUCCACACGUCAGGUCAAGGUGCAGUAAAUGAUGUGGUAAAAGAUGGGCUACACUUUCUAAAAUAGAACAUACGAAAGAUCAUAUAUGAAAACUGAUCAAAAGGUGGAUUUAGCAGUAAAAGAAGAUCAGAGUGCUUCUUUAAAUCCGGCACUGGGGUGUGUACACACCGCCCGUCACCCUCUUCAAAGCUUAACACUAGUACUUAACAACCUUGUGCUACACAGAAGAGGCAAGUCGUAACAUGGUAAGUAUACCGGAAGGUGUGCUUGGAAAC